UGGGGAAUUUUGCGCAAUGGGGGAAACCCUGACGCAGCAACGCCGCGUGAGUGAUGAAGGCCUUCGGGUCGUAAAGCUCUGUCAGAGGGGAAGAAAUGCAGGAGUGCUAAUAUCACUUUUGCUUGACGGUACCCUCAAAGGAAGCACCGGCUAACUCCGUGCCAGCAGCCGCGGUAAUACGGAGGGUGCGAGCGUUGUUCGGAAUUAUUGGGCGUAAAGCGCGUGUAGGCGGUCUUUUAAGUCUGAUGUGAAAGCCCCGGGCUCAACCUGGUAAGUGCAUUGGAAACUGGGAGACUUGAAUACGGGAGAGGGUAGUGGAAUUCCUGGUGUAGGAGUGAGAUCCGUAGAUAUUAGGAGUAACACCGGUGGCGAAGGCGGCUACCUGGACCGAUAUUGACGCUGAGACGCGAAAGCGUGGGG
RNAcentral lists this ribosomal RNA (420 nucleotides) under uncultured bacterium. RNAcentral's name for it is "bacterial SSU rRNA". It matches the Rfam family "Bacterial small subunit ribosomal RNA", at positions 355 to 766 of the family's 1533-position model. The record is from RNAcentral.